This 253-nucleotide ribosomal RNA is filed under the name uncultured bacterium. RNAcentral's name for it is "partial 16S ribosomal RNA". It matches the Rfam family "Bacterial small subunit ribosomal RNA", at positions 524 to 776 of the family's 1533-position model. The record is from RNAcentral.
GACAGAGGGUGCAAACGUUGUUCGGAAUUACUGGGCGUAAAGCGCGUGUAGGCUGCUUCGCAAGUCGGAUGUGAAAGCCCUGAGCUCAACUCAGGAAGUGCAUUCGAAACUGCAGAGCUGGAGUCCUGGAGAGGAAGGCGGAAUUCUCGGUGUAGAGGUGAAAAUCGUAGAUAUCGAGAGGAACACCGGUGGCGAAGGCGGCCUUCUGAACAAUGACUGACGCUGAAACACGAAAACAUAAGGAGCAAACAGG